RNAcentral lists this ribosomal RNA (459 nucleotides) under uncultured bacterium. RNAcentral's name for it is "partial 16S ribosomal RNA". It matches the Rfam family "Bacterial small subunit ribosomal RNA", at positions 338 to 795 of the family's 1533-position model. The record is from RNAcentral.
CCUACGGGGAGCAGCAGUGAGGAAUAUUGGUCAAUGGGCGCGAGCCUGAACCCGCCAAGUCGCGUGAGGGAAGACGGUCCUAUGGAUUGUAAACCUCUUUUGUCGGGGAGCAAAAGACGCCACGCGUGGCGUUCCGAGAGUACCCGAAGAAAAAGCAUCGGCUAACUCCGUGCCAGCAGCCGCGGUAAUACGGAGGAUGCGAGCGUUAUCCGGAUUUAUUGGGUUUAAAGGGUGCGCAGGCGGAAGAUCAAGUCAGCGGUAAAAUUGAGAGGCUCAACCUCUUCGAGCCGUUGAAACUGGUUGUCUUGAGUGAGUGAGAAGUAUGCGGAAUGCGGGGUGUAGCGGUGAAAUGCAUAGAUAUCACGCAGAACUCCGAUUGCGAAGGCAGCAUACCGGCGCUCAACUGACGCUCAUGCACGAAAGUGUGGGUAUCGAACAGGAUUAGAUACCCGGGUAGUC